UCCCUGGUGGCUCAGAGGUUAAAGCGUCUGCCUGCAAUGCCGGAGACCCGGGUUUGAUCCCUGGGUCGGGAA
Molecule: transfer RNA, 72 nt
Filed under: Bos taurus (domestic cattle)
Lineage: Eukaryota; Metazoa; Chordata; Mammalia; Artiodactyla; Bovidae
Also listed under: 3 other names
Rfam family: tRNA
About the family: Transfer RNA (tRNA) molecules are approximately 80 nucleotides in length.
Source: Rfam by way of RNAcentral